This 552-nucleotide ribosomal RNA is filed under the name uncultured archaeon. RNAcentral's name for it is "bacterial SSU rRNA". It matches the Rfam family "Archaeal small subunit ribosomal RNA", at positions 307 to 859 of the family's 1478-position model. The record is from RNAcentral.
GACAAGGUUCCAGACCCUACGGGGUGCAGCAGGCGCGAAACCUCCGCAAUGUACGAAAGUGCGACGGGGGGAUCCCAAGUGUUAUGCUUUUUUGUAUGACUUUUCAUUAGUGUAAAAAGCUUUUAGAAUAAGAGCUGGGCAAGACCGGUGCCAGCCGCCGCGGUAACACCGGCAGCUCGAGUGGUAGCUGUUUUUAUUGGGCCUAAAGCGUUCGUAGCCGGUUUGAUAAGUCUUUGGUGAAAGCUUGUAGCUUAACUAUAAGAAUUGCUGGAGAUACUAUUAGACUUGAAGUCGGGAGAGGUUAGAGGUACUACCGGGGUAGGGGCGAAAUCCUAUAAUCCUGGGAGGACCACCUGUGGCGAAGGCGUCUAACUGGAACGAUCUUGACGGUGAGUAACGAAAGCCAGGGGCGCGAACCGGAUUAGAUACCCGGGUAGUCCUGGCCGUAAACGAUGUGGACUUGGUGUUGGAAUGGCUUUGAGUUGUUCCGGUGCCGAAGGGAAGCUGUUAAGUCCACCGCCUGGGAAGUACGGUCGCAAGACUGAAACUUAA